UUCAAUCAUGUGAACCAGAGCAGUUCGAAAACGUUUCGAACUAACGGGUGCAAGUCCGGUGAAAGUCCGGCACAGUACCGCCUGCUGUUACUUCGAUGUACUCGAAGGAGUCAGAACCCCGGCUCUGGGCAAAGGUCUCUC
Molecule: non-coding RNA, 141 nt
Filed under: Dehalogenimonas alkenigignens
Lineage: Bacteria; Bacillati; Chloroflexota; Dehalococcoidia; Dehalococcoidales; Dehalococcoidaceae
Source: RNAcentral